CCUCCUCCUCCCACCUCGCCGCUGGCCCUCCCCUCCCCUCCUCCCACAUCACAGCUCGGGCAGCUACUGGAUCCGCCAUAUCCCCCAUCCACCCAUCCCUCUCACAUCCCAUGUCCUCUCUUGACAUAGCUCCUCGUUGCGCCACCUCCGGCGGCUGAUUCAGGCGACAUCCAGCGAAUCCCGCCAUCGUGAAGCACAGCCCGAGGUCCCCUUACACAGCGGCGCGCUCCCAUGCGGCUUGAUCCGGCGCUCGCGGCCACCAAAGCUCACCCGCGACCUUCCCCUGAUGGCUAUGUGGCCAUGUGGUCCUCCUCUCGCCGACUUUUUAGGAGUCUGAUGGUCAGGUUAUUUAGGUGGAGGUAGUAGCUUGCUAAUGGUGGCUUUCACGUCCAGCUCAAAUACUAGAGGAUGUGGACCUGUUGGGGCAAGCACGUACACCUUUGUUUUAGUGGGCAGGUUUCCAAAGGGAGAAAUACUCAAUGCCAUUCGGUGGUUUUCAAUGUGCCAUUCUCUA
This is a long non-coding RNA of Triticum dicoccoides, 514 nucleotides long. RefSeq lists it as uncharacterized. The record is from RefSeq and is a predicted model, not a curated record. NCBI's taxonomy places the organism in Eukaryota, Viridiplantae, Streptophyta, Magnoliopsida, Poales, Poaceae. The transcript has 3 exons.